This 511-nucleotide ribosomal RNA is filed under the name Cyclophora tenuis. RNAcentral describes it as "partial Bacterial small subunit ribosomal RNA". It matches the Rfam family "Bacterial small subunit ribosomal RNA", at positions 202 to 724 of the family's 1533-position model. The record is from RNAcentral. Lineage: Eukaryota; Bacillariophyta; Fragilariophyceae; Cyclophorales; Cyclophoraceae.
AAAAGGACUUCGGUUUGCUUCGGGAUGGACUCGCGUCCAAUUAGCUAGUUGGUGAGGUAACGGCCCACCAAGGCGACGAUCGGUAGCCGGACUGAGAGGUUGAACGGCCACAUUGGGACUGAGACACGGCCCAGACUCCUACGGGAGGCAGCAGUGGGGAAUAUUGCACAAUGGGGGAAACCCUGAUGCAGCGACGCCGCGUGAGGGAUGACGGCCUUCGGGUUGUAAACCUCUUUCAGCAGGGACGAAGCGUGAGUGACGGUACCUGCAGAAGAAGCACCGGCCAACUACGUGCCAGCAGCCGCGGUAAUACGUAGGGUGCAAGCGUUAAUCGGAAUUACUGGGCGUAAAGCGCGCGUAGGCGGUUUGUUAAGUCGGAUGUGAAAGCCCCGGGCUCAACCUGGGAACUGCAUUUGGAACUGGUUCGCUAGAGUACAGUAGAGGGUGGUGGAAUUUCCAGUGUAGCGGUGAAAUGCGUAGAGAUCUGGAGGAAUACCGAUGGCGAAGGCAG